ACAGGCUGUCUGAUCCCACGGU
RNAcentral lists this microRNA (22 nucleotides) under Mus musculus (house mouse). RNAcentral describes it as "mmu-miR-7656-3p". Lineage: Eukaryota; Metazoa; Chordata; Mammalia; Rodentia; Muridae. The record is from miRBase by way of RNAcentral.